Molecule: ribosomal RNA, 785 nt
Filed under: uncultured marine bacterium
Lineage: Bacteria
Description: bacterial SSU rRNA
Rfam family: Bacterial small subunit ribosomal RNA
Source: RNAcentral
UGAUCCUGGCUCAGAUUGAACGCUGGCGGUAGGCUUAACACAUGCAAGUCGUGCGAGAAAGUAUCUUCGGAUAUGAGUAGAGCGGCGGACGGGUGAGUAACGCGUAGGAAUCUACCUAGUAGAAGGGGAUAGCCCGGGGAAACUCGGAUUAAUACCGUAUACCUCCUUCGGGAGAAAGAAGGCCUCUCUUUGAAGCUUUCGCUACUAGAUGAGCCUGCGUAAGAUUAGCUUGUUGGUGAGGUAAAGGCUCACCAAGGCGACGAUCUUUAGCGGGUCUGAGAGGACGAUCCGCCACAUUGGGACUGAGACACGGCCCAGACUCCUACGGGAGGCAGCAGUGGGGAAUAUUGGACAAUGGGCGCAAGCCUGAUCCAGCCAUACCGCGUGUGUGAAGAAGGCCCUAGGGUUGUAAAGCACUUUAAGUUGGGAAGAAAAGUUAUUGGUUAAUACCCAAUGACCGUGACAUUACCAUCAGAAUAAGGACCGGCUAAUUCCGUGCCAGCAGCCGCGGUAAUACGGAAGGUCCAAGCGUUAAUCGGAAUUACUGGGCGUAAAGCGCGCGUAGGUGGUUUAUUAAGUUGGAUGUGAAAUCCCCGGGCUCAACCUGGGAACUGCAUCCAAAACUGAUUCACUAGAGUACGAUAGAGGGAGGUAGAAUUCACAGUGUAGCGGUGGAAUGCGUAGAUAUUGUGAAGAAUACCAAUGGCGAAGGCAGCCUCCUGGAUCUGUACUGACACUGAGGUGCGAAAGCGUGGGUAGCGAACAGGAUUAGAUACCCUGGUAGU